This 253-nucleotide ribosomal RNA is filed under the name uncultured bacterium. Its description in RNAcentral is "partial 16S ribosomal RNA". It matches the Rfam family "Bacterial small subunit ribosomal RNA", at positions 524 to 776 of the family's 1533-position model. The record is from RNAcentral.
GACGAACCGUGCAAACGUUAUUCGGAAUCAUUGGGCGUAAAGAGCGUGUAGGCGGCUCGAUAAGUCUGCUGUGAAAGUCCGGGGCUCAACCCCGGGAGGCGGGCGGAUACUGUCGGGCUAGAGUCCGGAAGAGGCGAGUGGAAUUCCUGGUGUAGCGGUGAAAUGCGCAGAUAUCAGGAGGAACACCAAUGGCGAAGGCAGCUCGCUGGGACGGUACUGACGCUGAGGCGCGAAAGCGUGGGGAGCAAACAGG